RNAcentral lists this ribosomal RNA (483 nucleotides) under uncultured organism. Its description in RNAcentral is "bacterial SSU rRNA". It matches the Rfam family "Bacterial small subunit ribosomal RNA", at positions 28 to 507 of the family's 1533-position model. The record is from RNAcentral.
GACGAACGCUGGCGGCGUGCUUAACACAUGCAAGUCGAACGGACCUGCUAUCGCUUGCGGUGGUUGGUUAGUGGCGAACGGGUGAGUAACACGUGAGUAACCUGUCCUUUUCUUUGGGAUAAGCGCCUGAAAGGGUGUCUAAUACUGAUUAUUCUGCUAUUUCCGCAUGGUUUUGGUUGGAAAGAUUUAUUUUGGGAAGGGUUGGGCUCGCGGCUUAUCAGCUUGUUGGUGGGGUGAUGGCUUACCAAGGCUUUGACGGGUAACCGGCCUGAGAGGGUGACCGGUCACAUUGGGACUGAGAUACGGCCCAGACUCCUACGGGAGGCAGCAGUGGGGAAUAUUGCACAAUGGACGAAAGUCUGAUGCAGCGACGCCGCGUGAGGGAUGAAGGCCUUCGGGUUGUAAACCUUUUUCGCCCCUGGACAAGGCAUCACUUUGGUGGUGUUGAGGGUAGGGGGUAAAGAAGCUCCGGCUAACUACGUG